RNAcentral lists this long non-coding RNA (634 nucleotides) under Linum usitatissimum (flax). RNAcentral describes it as "long non-coding RNA (LUSI_LNC005101)". The record is from RNAcentral. Lineage: Eukaryota; Viridiplantae; Streptophyta; Magnoliopsida; Malpighiales; Linaceae.
UGAGAUGCCGGGGUGGCCAAAAAUACAAAUCGAAGAUUGGUUGGCAGAGGGUGUGUGGAGUCAAGGUUGGCCGCCCAUAUGUGCAGCGGUAACUGGUAGGGUUCAUCUCCCCAUAUUUCCAGUUGGUUGUUGUUGCAAACACCGGAACAAUCUUUUAUGAUAUGAUAAUAUACUAGUUCUUGAAGAGGAUGAUGGAAAGAGACGAAUUGAGGAGAGAUGGUUGCAGGAGUCGGAGUGAGAAAUGGUGAUCGGAUUUUGAGUUAUAUGAAAGAAGUUAAAAGAACUGCAGAAAUGCCUGAGCUGCCCAUCAAAUCUAUACUAUUUUAUCAAGAGAUUUAAAUGGGUGGUUCAGAUCUUGUAAUUUGAAAACUAUAAAGAUUCUGAGGACUUCAACCAGAUUGAAUGAGAAACUUUGUUUUUUCGAUGAAUGACAUAAUUCUCCGGUGAGCUUUGUGACCAUCUGUUUGUCGUUCAAAGAAUAAAUAGAUGACAGGGACGGCUUUCAACCUUUAAACCUUACAACUAUUAUAAAUCUUGGUUUGAUAGGUAGCUUUAUAUUAACACUAUAUUUGUGUCUAUCAGGUACAUAUCCAACAAGGUGUCACAUCGUUCAUACGAACAAUUAUGUGGGUAC